AACACAUUUACAGAAGAGAGAGAGUUUGGAAAGAAAAUGGGGAAUUCAUUCUUAAGCUAUGAACAGCUGGACCAGAGAAAAUUGCAGACCUGGAAAGAGUUCCCAGGUGGAAGAACAAACAAGAUAAUGGAAACAGCAGACAAUGAAAAAAUAAAACUUCCCAGAGUUUAUGGAAUUCUGACUUUCCAAUCUACCUGGCAUUCCCAUCUAAAAGCGAACUGAAAUGAUAUAAUGAGACCUUCACUGUGAUGACUGAAACUCAUGCUAAGCUGGGGCCUACUCACAAAAGUUAAAAUACAAAUUACUGAUGCUGACUUCAUGGUGCAAGAGGAUGCGAGUUCACGGCUUGGCCAUCUGAGAAGAAAUAAUGAUAUAUCCCUUUCAUCUUAUCUUACUACAUUCAUGAUGAUUUCAAGCAGACUCCUAGUUGUCUGAAAAAAACUCUCUUGCUAUGCAUGCAAAAAUGUUGGAUGAUAUAACGAAAUGCCAGUCUGUCUGUAUACCACCUUUCCUUGUAAGUUUGAAAGAGACUAUUCACCUGAAAACUUACCUGCUGCAUUCAUCUGUCAAGGGUGUUCCAUUUUGCUCUACAACAUCUUUUCUAGCCAAGAAUUCUACAGAGAACAAAUCAUGCCCAGCCCUCACAGGGAAGAGUAUGUAGGCUACUGCGACAGAAGGCUUAUAUCUCAGGGUAGAACUCUCUUUUUCAUCAUACCUAUCCCAAAUCAAACUCUACUUUGUUUGUAGAAGUACAGGUAAUUCCACUUGUAUACACCUUUUUUUUAAAACCAAUCUGGUCUUUUUUGUUAAUGCAUAGCAUAGGCUUACUUGUAUUUAAGUUAAAACCUAUAAAACUCUGCCUAAGGAAUAAAUAUUAACUUGUAUCUCAGCUGUUCCUUUAUGGAGUAACCCCCACACCUGCAUGCUUUAAACAAAAUAUCAAAUAGUUUGAUCUUUACUGCAUGAGUGGUGACUAAUUUAAUAUCAGUCAAUAUUUGAUCUGUCCAUUUGAACUUAUAAAUAUUACUUAAAUGAAAUACCCAGCAUGAUUUCUUAAUGGGAGUACAUGGCCCUCACCACUAUUUCUAAUGUAGGAAAACAACCACUGAACACUAACAUGAUUGGAAAGCAUUUACACUAAGAAUGAAGAUAUUUCAAAAAGCUAAAGGAAGACUUUGUCAUUUAUGGAAUUUGUCUCAUGGGAUUUAUGGUAAACUGUUAAAAAUAUUUUCUUAGCAGAGUGACAGCAGAUGUACCAAUCAAUUUGUAGCUCAUCAACAUCCAUGACAAGACAAUUUUUGUUCUUUUAAUGAUUUUCCUGAAACAUCUCCCUUUCAUAGUACCAGGUUUCCAAUGUUGCAAACUGACAUAUCAAUAAUUUUGGUGAACAGCAGACAGAUGUAAUGCUAAAUAAGACUGUUAUUGUAUUGAAUCAAUCCAUUAUAUAAAUAGAACUAAUAAAUAUUAAUAUUCAUCCAUUACUGGGAUGAAUAUUAAGAGUAAGCUGAGAGAUUGCUUCUGAUAAUACCGUGCAGCUUUCUGCACAGACCCAACUCCACUGAUGUUAUAUGUGAACUUCUACUGAUCUAGUGGAAAAGACGCAAUUGUCACCUGAACCAGAAUAAUUAAAGAUGCAAAGUUUAAUUAUUCUGGUUCCGGUGGCAAUGAUGAGAGACACAUGGCAGGGAAGACACUACCUUCUACAAUUAUUUCUUCACCUCAUAAAAUGGGUGGGUGGUCAAACCACAGCCCAUGAGCUGCAUGUGGCUUGCAAGUAGUUUAAACAAAGCUCCUGAAGAAACUCGUUUAAUAGCAAACUACUUGAGCCAGAACCUUGUGCACAGGUCAUUGACCAAGGAAUGCACAUCUCAAAAGUUUUGUGUCCUGUGGCUCAUUGCCAUGUAAAAGUUUGGGCUGUUGCUAGAAAGGUUACGAAGCUUAGCUACCCCGUCAGAAAAGAAUGCUCAGUAGAUUUGAAAAACAGAUUAGAAAAAUUUACCCCUAUCUGAUGGGGUCAAAUCCUCUAGGCUGGCUCCAGUACUCUGGGCUUUGUUCUACUGCAAAGAGGAAAUCUAUAACCCAACCUUUACCUGAAUUCGAAAUAAACCAUGCUUUGGCCACAAUCCAGUAGAAUUUAACAAUGUGAGAAGCUACUGAGGGAUUUAAGUGAUUCUAAAUUCUGCCUGGAGCAUUUUUUCUAGCUGCGUGUGUGGAUUCAUAAACAUUCAUCUGCUGUGGUCUUAGUAUUUUGUGUAUUCCUCAGAAAUACUUUUCCCUGCCUUGAUAAAGGUAUAGUUUCUGGUGGUUUAUAAUACCUUCUGACACAUUUUGAUACCUUGUAUAUUUGGUAUGUCCCUGGGGGGAAGUAGGGGUGGGAAGGUGAGCCUACAAGCAAGAGGACUGAGAGUCCAAUGUGGAGAAUUCCAUACUACUUCACUUCCCAGCCAUGGAGAUGGGUGAAUAUUGUAAAAUAACGUUUAUAAACAGUUACGGCAGCUAAAAUUCAAUUUACUCUUUAUAAACAUUAAGUACGUAUGAGUUUUUGUUCCAACAGAAAGUUAGGCUUCAUUUGUUUGAAGUAGCCACUAAUGAAUAAAGACAUUAAACGCUUGACUACUAGAUUAAUUUAUGCUGCCUGAAAUGAA
Long non-coding RNA from Alligator mississippiensis (American alligator), 2645 nucleotides. RefSeq lists it as uncharacterized. The transcript has 4 exons. Lineage: Eukaryota; Metazoa; Chordata; Crocodylia; Alligatoridae. The record is from RefSeq and is a predicted model, not a curated record.